Mus musculus (house mouse) is the source of this 2730-nucleotide long non-coding RNA. RefSeq annotates it as predicted gene, 31087. The record is from RefSeq and is marked validated. Lineage: Eukaryota; Metazoa; Chordata; Mammalia; Rodentia; Muridae. The transcript is spliced from 3 exons.
GGCAGAACUCAUCCGGGCUUUGCUUGACAUCCUCGGGGGCCAGGAGUUUGACGAGGUCAGGGAGCUGGAAGUACUCAGCUUCUCUUUUCAGCCUUCCUCUUUCUGGAAAGUGAUCAGGCAGGACCACCUGCCUGUCCCUGAGAUAGUCCAGAAUAUAACGGAACAGAAAGCCAUCUCUGUCAAUGAAAAACCUUCCCUUGGAGUCCUUGGCUAGAUCGUUAGCAGUGUCUCUCUUUGGGGAGAACAUUUUCCACAGGAGAGAAUGGGGGAUGCUUAUUAAUGUGGAAUGGCGAGUGAAGUAAACCUGGCCGCCAACAUUCAGCUCUAUGACUUCAGGGAAGGAGUUGGGAACAGCAGCCCCCUGGUCCCGAGGAUAAUAACGGCUACAGUUCCCACUUAGAGCCAUUGUCCCUUUCUUCUGCAGCCUCCUGGAAUUAAAGGUGCAAUCCAACUGAGUUACAGCCCUAGACUUUGCAUCCACGAGUGAGCAGGACAGAGAAAGCAGUGAGUCUCUGCGCUUACCUUAGCGAGUGAGUGCUGGAGACUCAGUUCUUGCGAAGAAAUAACCUUUUCCAGAGCAAUCAGAAACCACAGCCACACACUGAGCCUGGACGUCUUGUCAAAUCCCAAACAGGCAGUGGUGGCGCACGCCUUUAAUCCCAGCACUUGGGAGGCAGAGGCAGGAGGACUUCUGAGUUCGAGGCCAGCCUGGUCUACAGAGUGAGUUCCAGGACAGCCAAGGCUAAUACAGAGAAACCCUGUCUUGAAAAAAUCCAGAAAAACAACAAACAAACAAACAAACAAACAAAAACAUCAAAUUUUCUGUUGGAUUAAAACUUACAUUAAAGUUAUUUUUGCCUAUGUAAAAGAGAAAGAAAGAAAGAAAGAAAGAAAGAAAGAAAGAAAGAAAGAAAGGAAGGAAGGAAGGAAGAAAGAAGAAAGAAAGAAAGAAAGAAAGAAAGAAAGAAAGAAAGAAAGAAAGAAAGAAAGAAAGAAAGAAAGAAAACCAGCACAAAAUUGUAGGAGUAUAUUUCAAAGUAAAACAUCUUAUACUCUAAGUCAGAAAACAAUGACAGGAAGAAGAUUACUCCACUUCUCAGAAUAUCACUGACUCCUAGUACUGGCAGAACACUUAACACAUAGACCUUUAGAGUGCCACGCAACACAUCUUUCCACUGGUCCUCAGUCCCCAGUAAUCAAGUUAAGCCACUUUAUUCUCACUACGAAUAGUUGAUAUCUGUUCUUUUCCAUUUAUCUUGUGCUUUUUUAAAUUUUAAUGUGGUUUUUUUCUUGCUCAACAAAUAAUUAUUGAUAACUUACUAUGAUCCAGUCAAGCUCUAAAUUCUCUGCUCAAUCUUGGAAUCCAGAGAUGAAUAAAAUAGACAGGUCUUUGCCUUUAUGAAACUUCCAUUAUAGACGGCAAACAUAGAUACUAAUUAAGUCAGCAAACAUAAUCAAGAUAAUCCCCCCAAGUUAUAUUGUCUGUGAGCUACAUAGUAAUAGUGUUGAUGAACUGAUGUGUUGGCUGUGGCCAGGAAGUGGAUAAAUGCUUCAGGCUGGGACUCUGUGAGACAUGGAGACAGCCAUUUGCUUUUCUGGAAACUGUUGUAGGCAGAGAUCAAAACAAGGAAUGAUGGGUCUAGGCUGAGUUUGUUGAGGGAACUGAGACAGCUGGGGAAUCACUGGCCAUAGAGAGAAAGGAAAGGGGGAGGGAUGGUCUAAGAAGAAGAUAGGGGCCAAGCUCCAUGGGGUCUCAUCUACCAUGUGCUAGGAGUACAGAUCUCAUUAGGUCAAAUGCAAGAGAGGUCUUGUAUUCACUUGCUUUUCAAAAGAUGGCUUGGCCAACUGUAGUGGUGGGUUGUCAGCAUAGCAACAUUAGCUGUAGGGAAAUGAGGGAGAUGAGUCUGCAAGGAUCCGGCGAUGCACCGGAAGUAGUUCAGUGCAGGGUGAAGGUGAAUCAUGAAGGAAAGCUAGCUGGGAUCUCAGGUGUACUGGAGGGAUACAGGGAGCCAUAGUGCUGUAUGAGUUCACUGAUGUUCCCUCUAACACAGUGGGAACAUAUGUGGAAACAUAUAGUUUCUAAACUAUAGCAUCCCAGUUCAUUAAACACAAGCUGACACUGCUAUCUUUAUAAUGAUGUCAUCAGUUACCUUCAUGUCUUUAAGAUGAACCUUAGCAUAUAUUAAUUGCUCAUAUACCUUAGUUGGCUCCCACUGCUUAUAGAAUAUAGCCCAAAGUCCUCAAUACAGGUUCAAAGCCCUCUGCUACCUGACCUUACUUCUUUCAGAGAUAUAUUAAAUAAGUUCACAAGCAAAGGAGAAGAGAUAGAGAGCUAAAGAGAAGUCCUGAGAGGAAGCUUUCACGUUUGGGGAUAGUCACAGGAGUGGUGCUGCCUUUGAUAGAUGAGGGGCCAGGAUUCAUGCUUUCAUGCUGCUCUUAGAACCAAAAAAAUCUGUCACCAAUGAAAGAGCCACAGGGCAGCACGCAGUGUCUGUCUUCUGAUAUCUAAGGCAAGAGACCGCAAAGCUCAGGAAAUGAGAAGAAAUCGAGAAGCCCCUACUGAACACAAAUACAUAUCUGUAAUUAGCCCUGCUUUGACCCUAAUGUCAUCUGUUACCAUGUGUACAAUCUUAAGUUAGAAUGCAAUUGAACUAAUACCUCACUAUAAGAUUUAAUGGUCUAGUCAUAUGUAGGGAGAAGCUAAAGAAAUAAAAUGUGCAUCGUGUUGAA